CCUCAAGGGUAGUUGCAGGUGCAUUCACUUGACCUCUACGAAGGAUGAACAUUUCCCAUGAGUUUUCCACUUGUGUUUCAUCCUUGAGUUCCCUGUGGCUGAGCUGUGUGUGCAGAGAGCACCUUUCUCUCUCCUUGGGAAGCCCUUUGAAUGUAGAAACUCUGCAUUCCUCAUUCCUGUGCCCUCCCUCUCCCCAGUGGCUAGGACUUAACACCAAAGGGUGCUCAGGAAACAAAUGGAAGCAGGGCACUAACCAACUCCAGGAGGACUGGGAGCAUGUUUCCCGCUGAAUCCCUGCCAUCUUGACCACUGCCUGGCAAGAGAAGACACUCUACCAACAUUUUUUUAGGUGCAGUGAGAUUAGUGGUAAUUUAAAAAGCAGGAUUGCCUCUGUGUCAAUUUCCCGCUAAUGAGCAAAACUCGCCGUGUAAUUGCUAUGUAUUGAACGAAGCAACAAUACAUUUUCAGUGGCUGUUUAAUAUGCUGGGGCUUGGUUUAACAGAUGUUCUGAGACUCGCUUUCCAAGACGGAGGAGCCAAGCCCAGAAGAAGAAGGUGACAUUUCCCUUUCUUUUGCCUCUGUCCAGUGCUGCAUCCCUUGGAGGGCAUGAGGCAAGGCCACGUGAGACACAGUCGGUGCUAGAUUCCUGGAGGCAGAGCUGAGGGUAGGUCUUGAAACCAGCGAGGGUAGCAAGCAGAGGAAGAUGACGAUCCAUUCCUCUUCUGAUCUUCACUAUAAGGGGCACCAAGCCCUGGGUCAUGACAAGGUCUUAUAUUUAGCAUGGACUUGCAACCAGUAAGUGCUGUCCCUUGCUAGCUCUGUGACCCUCUCAUGUGACUUUAACCUCUCUUGAGUCUCAGCUUCACCAUCUUUCGAAUGGGGAUAACACGUAACAUAUCUCAUGAGGAUGAAAUGAUGAACGAACAGGGCCGUUCCCCUGCCUGGACACUCUUCUCUAGAGUGUCUGCAUGUCUCUCUCCCUCACUUGGGUGCAUGGACGCCUACUGUCCAUUGCCCUCCUCUGUCUGCCUCUGGCAAAUGCUUUGUGCUGGGGGUUGGUGGAUAUGAAGGUCAAAUGUCACCAUCUUCCUAGGCCUUUCCAGAAUGCCCUCUUGCCUGCUCUCUCCUUGACAUGCUCCACGUUUCUCCCAUAGCACCUGACACCCUCCAACACUCUGUGUUAACUCACAUAUUUUUGUUUGUUUGUUUCUCACCCUCUGUCUCUCCUUAUUAGAAGGUAAGCUCCACGAGGGCAAGGAUUUAUGGCCUUUUUCUUCCAUGGAUGACUCUGAAACGCCUAGAACAGUACCUGGCACACAGUAGGUGCUCCACUAAUGCUGAAUGAAUGAUGCAUGUGGAAGGCUGAGUCUGGUUCCCACAACACAGU
RNAcentral lists this long non-coding RNA (1387 nucleotides) under Homo sapiens (human). Its description in RNAcentral is "HSALNT0405289". Lineage: Eukaryota; Metazoa; Chordata; Mammalia; Primates; Hominidae. The record is from RNAcentral.